UAAUGUUGCCAGGCACUGUCUUCACAGAACAGUGCUUGGCAAACGGUGCCUGGCAAUAUUAAAUACUCAAUAUCUCAGCUAUUUUUAUUGUUCAGACUUCAUUUCCCUAUUUUUUGAGGUUUUAUUCACAUUUUUGAAUUGUAUUGCAAAUAAAAGAAAACCAAGAGCUAUUGGCAUGUGUAAUGGACGGUGGCCUAAUGGCCACCUAUGUCAGGCACACGAGCAAUAUCCACUGAGAACUAAUGCCUUGGUGACCCAAAGGACACUUGUUGGGACAGAAGAAAAAGUCCUCUUGACUUGAAGAACCAACCAGGCCAACCUCUGAUCUCUGAUCUCUCUGAAAUCAGACAGUCGAGGUGCUGGUUCUCUGCACAUCUGCAGAAUAGGGACCAUAAUAAUACCUAUCUCAUGGGGUUACAGUAAAGAUGAAAUGAGAUCAUCUGUGUAAAGCAGUGAGCAUAGUUUCAAGUACCUGCUCUACAUUUGCUGUUGUUCACAGCAUCUGUCCUGGAACAUGAGCUGAUUGUUGAGAGAGGUGUGGUGGGUGUUCAGGGAAAGGUAUCCUCAUAUUUCCUCCAGCCAUCAGGAACCUCAUGGGCAGCUCCACCAGGAGAAGCUCAGCAAGAAAGUGAGAAUGCAAGCUUCUCAUUUUUUUGUUAGAAAUGGUGAUGAGGAGAGCACCUUCCCCUCUCUGCGAGCAUCCGGUGCAGGAAGGCCAACAUCUACAGCUGCAAGAAUGAUCGGGUUGAUGCUGAGGCAAGAGUGAGAAUUAGCAACAGAAGUGGCAAAUUAAGGCCACUGACUGGCAGGCUGGGAAGAGCCAAGAAAUCUGUAUUAAUCACCAAGGACAGAACAUGAGCUCUUUGAGACCCUGCAGGGAGAAAAGAGGCUGAAAGUAUCCACAGUUCUUCUGGAAGGGGGCUCAGAACCAGUGAGUUUUCAUUAGCAUGGCUAUUGCAUCCUAUAACCCUGGAGUGACUCACCCAGACUACAGUGGCCUAAAGAACUCGGUUACACAGAGCACAGAGCCACUGUCCCAGGGAGAGAAGUUAUUUGCUUCCAGGUGCCUCUGUACCUAACUGUUACUGUUCUUUUCCCAGGGUCCCCAAAGAAGAGAAUUCCACCAACUUUUCUUGGCACUCUCUGCCAAUAAUUAGCAAUUUUUUCUUUAUGUUUGUCCUUAUUAAUGCCUAUUCCUGUUCAGCUGUGCUCAUGGAAAGAUAGCCAGCAUGGUUUGCCCUCUCCCAAGCAAGCACAUCUCAGAGUCCAAAUGGCACAGUUGCCUUCAGUUAAUUUUCACUUAGAUCUUAACCUUCUCAGUUUAUUUCCACUUGAACUCUGGAUAUUAAAGUAGAAAUAAUGCUUUGUGACCUUUCAGCGGAACACCAGCUGCUUCUCCACCCUUUCCCCUGUGGUUUAGUGACCCACACAGUCCAGUUCUGCAAUAGCCUUGCUUCUGGCGUUCUAACCUCCUUCCCAGCAGGGAAUGACUAAUGCUCAGAGCCACGCAUCACACCAGCGUUUACCAGGCAGAGCAAAUAAAUGGUCAUCUGAGACAUGCUUUCAGACAGAGAUCUCUGUUCUUGGCAUGAAGGUUAAGGUUAGUGAAAAAAAGUCCCACCUCUGCCCCUUUCUGCUCAAUUCCGCCCCUUUAUCUUCCCAAGGACGUGAUGAGAAAGAUUUUUAAAGUGAUCGCAGUAGUUUAUCUUCAUGACAUGGGCAGACUUCCAUGAGUCCUGUGACUCAGUGACACUCCGAGGGACCCAUGACUGUGGGGUGGGCUUGGAACAAACUCACUGUUGGCAGAAGCUGUUCACUGCCCCUAUUUUUUGCCCUGGCAAAAAUAGAUUUCAAUGGCAACUUAGGAAGGGGCCGCGGUGGGGAAGAGGUUGUGGUAAGAGAACGUUCUCUCACGUUCUCCAAAUCUUCCAAACCAAGCUUUGCUCCAUGGGACCACUUCACCCAGAAGUCUGGGCAGGAGCUCAGGCUCUGACAUUGUCACGGCUGCCAGCUUGAUGGAUGGGAGGAGGUGGGGAGCUGGGUUUCCAGCCAGGAACUAAGGGAAUUCUACGCUUCUAGAGUCCCUUGUACUUACUGGGAUGGUGUUCAUGGCUUCUGCCCACUGAGCCUGCCAAAACUCAUUUUGUCACAGCCAAGCCCAAUCACUCCCCAUUCCCUGCUCCAAAAAAGAAGAAACCUUGCUGCAGCUUCAUAGACACUUGGUCAAUCUGCAAUAAUUAAAAAAUAGAGGCAGUGGGGCAUGGGGAGAGGGAAAGAAAAGAGGCUGGGGGCUGGUGAUGGGACAAGCUGAGUUUGGAGUUGCAGAGUGGGAAACUACAGGAUGCUGGGAAUACACAGGGGAGGAAGCCUCCUUAAAGCAGGCUUCGGAUGUGUGUAUGGAUCCUCUUUGGGUUUUGGGAUAAUUAGUGAAAGAUGAGAGUUAUCUUGAAAUUCCUUUUGUUUGCAGGACUGCAUGUUUGGCUGCUCUGUGGGGGUCCAGGCUGUGUAAAGGUCACACGUGUAAGUGGAUUAUGGGCUCACUCAUCUCCACAGGGCAAGUUGGAGAAGUUUUUCUUGACUCACUGGAAACAGAAGUAAAAGGCUGAGGAAGGCAUUGUGGGGCGGGUGUAUCGCACAGGCAAUGGUGAAAAGUGGAGGUGAUGUGGUAGGGAGGAAGGCAUCCGUGUUUGCUAUUGACUUUCUAUUUCUUCCGCCAGGGAGCCUGGCGUCCAGGUCGCCUGUUGCCUGGCAGUGGAGCAGUCACUUCACAUCACUGUGUCUCACAGUUGUCUCUGCUGUUGGCAGCUGGAUGUGGGAGGGAACAGUGAAGAGACUACUAAAGUUUAAUGUCCUUUUUAUGACCAACUUUUGUUGCUGGCACCUUCCUCUUGGAAAAAGACACUGAUUUAUGACUGAACAAUCCCUACACACAGAAAUCUAAUCGUUCUUUCUGUCUCUUAGCUUAUUUUUGUUUAGAGGAGCGGAUGGCUUCCAUAGGCUGUUCAGAAAAUGGCUGGGACAAAUCGGAGUAAAAAAACUUAAAGUUUUUAUUUCUGUCUCUUUCUCCUCACAGAGGAGUUUGAAAUUCUUGCUUCAGGCCAUAUGGAGUGGAUAUUCCUUCCAGAAGGAAAUUACAGACCACUCUCUGUUUCUACUCAACUGCUUUUCAAUCCAGGAUGCUUCACCUCCUGGGGCCUUCCCAGCGGAGUCCCAGGAUGACCCGCAAAAGGCUUCCCCAAGGGUGGGGCCGGAAGCAGGGCUGUAGGUAUGUGUCCUGAACCUCCCACAGACCCUGCUGGCUCCCUUCAAAGGCUUCCGGCAUAGCGACUUGCCUUUCCAUUGUGUUCAGUCGUCACCAAUCAGCCGUCUGCAGACUCCUCUCCCUCAUGUUGUGGCAGAGGAGUUGUACAUUCUCUAGAUUUUAAAAAUAUAUAGGUUACUUGUUCUUUAAAAAAAUUGUCUCUGAAAUAA
This is a non-coding RNA of Macaca mulatta (Rhesus monkey), 3471 nucleotides long. NCBI's taxonomy places the organism in Eukaryota, Metazoa, Chordata, Mammalia, Primates, Cercopithecidae. The record is from RefSeq and is a predicted model, not a curated record.